ACGGGGUGCAGCAGGCGCGAAACCUCCGCAAUGCACGCAAGUGCGACGGGGGGACCCCAAGUGCCACUCUUAACGGGGUGGCUUUUCAGGAGUGUAAAAAGCUCCUGGAAUAAGGGCUGGGCAAGACCGGUGCCAGCCGCCGCGGUAACACCGGCAGCUCGAGUGGUAGCCGCGUUUAUUGGGCCUAAAGCGUCCGUAGCCGGUCCGAUAAGUCUCUGGUGAAAGCCCACAGCUCAACUGUGGGAAUCGCUGGAGAUACUAUCGGACUUGAGGCCGGGAGAGGCUGGAGGUACUCCCAGGGUAGGGGUGAAAUCCUAUAAUCCUGGGAGGACCACCUGUGGCGAAGGCGUCCAGCUGGAACGGACCUGACGGUGAGGGACGAAAGCCAGGGGCGCGAACCGGAUUAGAUACCCGGGUAGUCCUGGCCGUAAACGAUGCGGACUUGGUGUUGGGACGGCUUUGAGCUGUCCCAGUGCCGAAGGGAAGCUGUUAAGUCCGCCGCCUGGGAAGUACGGCCGCAAGGCUGAAACUUAAAGGAAUUGGCGGGGGAG
This 551-nucleotide ribosomal RNA is filed under the name uncultured Methanobacteriaceae archaeon. Its description in RNAcentral is "bacterial SSU rRNA". It matches the Rfam family "Archaeal small subunit ribosomal RNA", at positions 325 to 876 of the family's 1478-position model. The record is from RNAcentral. Lineage: Archaea; Methanobacteriati; Methanobacteriota; Methanobacteria; Methanobacteriales; Methanobacteriaceae.